GCAAGUCCGCAUUUGAGAAUACCCACAUUUAAGAAUAUUCGUUGAUGGAUACGCAAAAAGGCGACCCAUGAACGAAUUUCUGACCAAAAAUCCAUCUAAGAACAAAAUACCGAGAUGCCCGAUUGCUCGGUUCGGGUCAAGUCGUUUUGUUUCUUUAAUGUAUUUUUGUUAUGAAACAUGUUUCAUUUUGAGUGAAAAAUUUUCUUCACAAACAACAAUGUGUCAAACGUUCUCGCAUAAAUUUAUAAAUCUUCAUCGAAUUCAGUGUUUAUUGUGAUCCUUCAUUUGCCUCAAGUGAUUUUCCAACUUAGUCUUCAAUCCCGGAAUCUCUUUAGCAUCAUAUUGGCAUCAUAGGGCUCUAUUGGUGCUUGACAACGCCCCUGAGCACCCUCCGGAUCUGCAAGAAUGUUUGGACGAGGAUUGUAGCUUCAUAAAGAUUGUGUACUUGCCCCCAAAUUUGUUAUUGCGAAUUUUAAAUCCCUGUACCUCAAAGGACUACUGACAGAGCUCUUUAAUGAAACCGAAAUUUCCGGGAAGACGUCCCUUCAUGAGUUUUGGAGAGAAAAAUUUGAUAUUGUGGUAGCGAUUGAACUUAUCAAAAACGCUUGGGAAGGUGUUUCAGAGCAAACUCUUCGAUCUUCAUGGAAGAAAUUGCUACAAAAAGAAACAAACGAAUCAAACCAUCCAGUCGGACGCAUCUCAACUUGCAAAUGGAUGAAGACGAAGACAAUUUUCAGGAAGGGUGGCGAGAUGAUUCAGGUGCAACAGGAAGUCCAGCAGUCGGACAGCAUCUCAAUUCAGAAACGACAAGAGAGAUACUGGCACUCGGCGAAUAUCUCAACCUUGAAAUGGAUGAAGAUGAUAUAAAUGAGAUGCAACUUGAUUCACGUGACAUUGAGAACUUGGGAUUUAAAGAUCUUCAGGAUCUAAUUAACCUCGAACAAGAAGAAGAGGGUCCAUCAAGUGAUGACGCAAGAAGUGUGCUGCUGGAAACAUACGCUGCUCUUAAGAACAAAGUCAACUUGUGGCUUCCGGAUGAUAACGAUUUUGCUACCAUUACAAAAGAGAUGGAGCAAAAGGUGCUUCCUUAUUUCCAAAAGGGGGCGAAAGUAGCCAGAAAGGCAGACAAAUUUGAGGGAAUUUUUCAAGUCUUCUUAAAAAUACGUAAAGAAAAGUUUGAAAAACAAAGCAAAGGAUAUUCUUAUUAUUUAAACUAAACACAAUCAAUUUGUUUUUAUGUGAUUUUUCUCCAAUUCUUAUAAAAUGUUCUUUUUAUGUAACAUUAAUUAAAAAAAAAGAAAAAAAACAGGAAUAAAAGAAAGAUUUUUCGUAAAAAUUCA
Molecule: long non-coding RNA, 1340 nt
Organism: Lutzomyia longipalpis
Lineage: Eukaryota; Metazoa; Arthropoda; Insecta; Diptera; Psychodidae
Exons: 2
Source: RefSeq, a predicted model, not a curated record